This 486-nucleotide ribosomal RNA is filed under the name uncultured bacterium. RNAcentral's name for it is "partial 16S ribosomal RNA". It matches the Rfam family "Bacterial small subunit ribosomal RNA", at positions 30 to 507 of the family's 1533-position model. The record is from RNAcentral.
AUUGAACGCUGGCGGCAUGCCUUACACAUGCAAGUCGAACGGCAGCACGGGUGCUUGCUCCUGGUGGCGAGUGGCGAACGGGUGAGUAAUACAUCGGCACAUGUCCUGUAGUGGGGGAUAGCCCGGCGAAAGCCGGAUUAAUACCGCAUACGAUCUACGGCUGAAAGCGGGGGACCUUCGGGCCUCGCGCUAUAGGGUUGGCCGAUGGCUGAUUAGCUAGUUGGUGGGGUAAAGGCCUACCAAGGCGACGAUCAGUAGCUGGUCUGAGAGGACGACCAGCCACACUGGGACUGAGACACGGCCCAGACUCCUACGGGAGGCAGCAGUGGGGAAUUUUGGACAAUGGGCGAAAGCCUGAUCCAGCAAUGCCGCGUGUGUGAAGAAGGCCUUCGGGUUGUAAAGCACUUUUGUCCGGAAAGAAAUCCUUGGCCCUAAUACGGUCGGGGGAUGACGGUACCGGAAGAAUAAGCACCGGCUAACUACGUG